UUUGAGGGAGAUGGGUAUGAAUUAACUGCCUUGGGUCGUAUUCGCAUUAAGAGUGUUGAAAUUCCUUCUCCUACCAAAUCUUUUGAUUGUUCUCUCAAUGGAAGUAGCGAGAGUGAAGAUGAGUUUUAUGACUACACCCCUCUUUUAGAUGGCACACCGACUAAGAUGAGUAAAUCGCCUUCAGCAAAUGUAGCUUUUCCUUCUCCUUCGAACGAGUCAUCCAAGCUAUUAGAGAAAGGCACUGCGCCUCGGACUUCCCCAGCUGCAUCGCAUAUGCCAUUGGCUACCUUUAAGGAUCAUGCCACAUUGCAAAAUCCAUAGUCCACUUGUGGGAAUCACAACUUGUCUCCUCCACCUAGGUCUCUUCAAGCCGUACACCAAGAAAAUACUUCUGACACAUUGGAAGAGACAGACGAAAUUACUUCUGAUACCUCGGAAGAGGCCCAAAUUCUUGCAGACUUACUUGAAGCAAAUGGGGUUAACAAAUUAUUUGACAAACUUGAAGCACCCUUUGCUCCAUCUAACCUCCUUUUGGGAACUUCCUCUAACGAAGCAGCCACCCAUAUUCAGAAAGGUCUUACUAUUUCUCUCCAGUCAAUGACGGAUGUUAAUGGCAUGAUUGCUAUAGCAAACAACGUUUUCAUGAUUUUGAAGAGUUUGGGUGUAGACUUCAUCUCCUUUUAUGAGA
Molecule: non-coding RNA, 688 nt
Organism: Camellia sinensis
Lineage: Eukaryota; Viridiplantae; Streptophyta; Magnoliopsida; Ericales; Theaceae
Source: RefSeq, a predicted model, not a curated record